This 253-nucleotide ribosomal RNA is filed under the name uncultured bacterium. RNAcentral's name for it is "partial 16S ribosomal RNA". It matches the Rfam family "Bacterial small subunit ribosomal RNA", at positions 524 to 776 of the family's 1533-position model. The record is from RNAcentral.
UACGGGGGGGGCAAGCGUUGUUCGGAAUUACUGGGCGUAAAGGGCUCGUAGGCGGCCAACUAAGUCAUACGUGAAAUCCCUCAGCUUAACUGGGGAACUGCGUGUGAUACUGGAUGGCUUGGAUUUGGGAGAGGGAUGCGGAAUUCCAGGUGUAGCGGUGAAAUGCGUAGAUAUCUGGAGGAACACCGGUGGCGAAGGCGGCAUCCUGGACCAUUACUGACACUGAAAAGCGAAAGCCAGGGGAGCAAACGGG